RNAcentral lists this long non-coding RNA (1353 nucleotides) under Pan troglodytes (chimpanzee). RNAcentral describes it as "long non-coding RNA NONPTRT015430". The record is from RNAcentral. Lineage: Eukaryota; Metazoa; Chordata; Mammalia; Primates; Hominidae.
CACCACCCCAUCUCUGACCAUGAGGCCACCCUGAGGUGCUGGGCCCUGGGCUUCUACCCUGCGGAGAUCACGCUGACCUGGCAGCGGGACGGGGAGGAACAGACCCAGGACACAGAGCUUGUGGAGACCAGGCCUGCAGGGGAUGGAAACUUCCAGAAGUGGGCUGCUGUGGUGGUGCCUUCUGGAGAGGAACAGAGAUACACGUGCCAUGUGCAGCACGAGGGGCUGCCCCAGCCCCUCACCCUGAGAUGGGAGCAGUCUCCCCAGCCCACCAUCCCCAUCGUGGGCAUCGUUGCUGGCCUUGUUGUCCUUGGAGCUGUGGUCACUGGAGCUGUGGUCGCUGCUGUGAUGUGGAGGAAGAAGAGCUCAGGUAGGGAAGGGGUGAGGAGUGGAGUCUGAGUUUUCUUGUCCCACUGGGGGUUGCAAGCCCCAAGUAGAAGUGUGCCCUGCCUCAUUACUGGGAAGCACCAUCCACACUCAUGGGUCUACCCAGCCUGAGCCCUGUGUGCCAGCACCUACUCGUUUGUAAAGCUCCUGUGAAAAUGAAGGACAGAUUCUUCACUUCGAUGAUUAUGGUGGUGAUGGGACCUGAUCCCAGCAGUCACAAAUCACAGGGGAAGGUCCCUGCUGAUGACAGACCUCAGGAGGGCAGUUGGUCCAGGACCCACAUCUGCUUUUUCAUAUUUCUUGAUCCUGCCCUGGAUCUACAGUUACACUUUUCUGGAAACUUCUCUGGGAUCAAAGACUAGGGGUUUGCUCUAGGACCUUAUGGCCCUGCCUCCUUUCUGGCCUCUCACAGGACAUUUUCUUCCUAUAGAUAGAAACAGAGGGAGCUACUCUCAGGCUGCAGGUAAGAUGAAGGAGGCUGAUCCCUGAGAUUGUUGGGAUAUUGUAGUCAGGAGCCUAUGAGGGAGCUCACCCACCCCACAGUUCCUCUAGCCACAUCUGUGGGCUCUGACCAGGUCCUGUUUUUGUUCUACCCCAAUCACUGACAGUGCCCAGGGCUCUCGGGUGUCUCUCACAGCUAAUAAAGGUGACACUCCAGGGCAGGGGCCCUGAUGUGAGUGGGGUGUUGGGGGGGAACAGAGGGGACUCAGCUGUGCUAUUGGGUUUCUUUGACUUGGAUGUCUUGAGCAUGAAAUGGGCUAUUUAAAGUGUUACCUCUCACUGUGACUGAUACGAAUUUGUUCAUGAAUAUUUUCUCUAUAGUGUGAGACAGCUUCCUUGUGUGGGACUGAGAAGCAAGAUAUCAAUGUAGCAGAAUUGCACUUGUGCCUCACGAACAUACAUAAAUUUUAAAAAUAAAGAAUAAAAAUAUAUCUUUUUAUAGAUACAGGUAGAUAUGUUUUUAUA